Molecule: ribosomal RNA, 383 nt
Filed under: uncultured eukaryote
Lineage: Eukaryota
Description: partial 18S ribosomal RNA
Rfam family: Eukaryotic small subunit ribosomal RNA
Source: RNAcentral
CAAUAGCGUAUAUUAAAGUUGUUGCAGUUAAAAAGCUCGUAGUUGGAUUUCUGGUGGGAGCGAUCGGUCUGGCGCUUAGCGCGAGUACUUGCAUCGUCUCCGGCCAUCCUUGGGGAAGGUCUGUCUGGCAUUAAGUUGUCGGGCAGAGGAUCCUCAUCGUUUACUGUGAAAAAAUUAGAGUGUUCAAAGCAGGCUUAUGCCGUUGAAUAUAUUAGCAUGGAAUAAUAAGAUAGGACUUUGGUACUAUUUUGUUGGUUUGCGCACCAAAGUAAUGAUUAAUAGGGACAGUUGGGGGUAUUCGUAUUCCGUUGUCAGAGGUGAAAUUCUUGGAUUUACGGAAGACGAACUACUGCGAAAGCAUUUACCAAGGAUGUUUUCAUUAA